RNAcentral lists this RNase P RNA (302 nucleotides) under Selenomonas sp. oral taxon 138 str. F0429. Its description in RNAcentral is "RNA component of RNase P". It matches the Rfam family "Bacterial RNase P class A", at positions 43 to 351 of the family's 367-position model. From Rfam's summary of the family: Ribonuclease P (RNase P) is a ubiquitous endoribonuclease, found in archaea, bacteria and eukarya as well as chloroplasts and mitochondria. Its best characterised activity is the generation of mature 5'-ends of tRNAs by cleaving the 5'-leader elements of precursor-tRNAs. Lineage: Bacteria; Bacillati; Bacillota; Negativicutes; Selenomonadales; Selenomonadaceae. The record is from RNAcentral.
GAGGAAAGUCCGAGCUCCAUAGGGCAGUGUGCUGGAUAACGUCCAGCGAGGGUGACCUCAGGGACAGUGCCAUAGAAAUUUAGACCGCCGAUCUGAUCGGUAAGGGUGGAAAGGUGCGGUAAGAGCGCACCAGCAGUCGGGUGACCGGCUGGCUUGGGUAAACCCCACAUGGAGCAAGACCAAAUAGGGAAGGGUUAAGGCGGCUCGUCGACCUUCCGGGUAGUGUCGCUAGAGGCGUUCGGCAACGGGCGUCCCAGAUAAAUGAUUGUCGCCGCCCGUGUGGCGGAACAGAACUCGGCUUA